This 63-nucleotide transfer RNA is filed under the name Phacomorphus fratyi. RNAcentral describes it as "tRNA-Asn". Lineage: Eukaryota; Metazoa; Arthropoda; Insecta; Coleoptera; Leiodidae. The record is from RNAcentral.
UUAAUUGAAACCAAAAAGAGGUAUAUCAUUGUUAAUGAUAUCAAUGAGAAUUCUCCAAUUAAA